This 394-nucleotide ribosomal RNA is filed under the name Bacillus sp. (in: firmicutes). RNAcentral's name for it is "bacterial SSU rRNA". It matches the Rfam family "Bacterial small subunit ribosomal RNA", at positions 567 to 959 of the family's 1533-position model. The record is from RNAcentral. Lineage: Bacteria; Bacillati; Bacillota; Bacilli; Caryophanales; Bacillaceae.
GCGCGCAGGCGGUUUCUUAAGUCUGAUGUGAAAGCCCACGGCUCAACCGUGGAGGGUCAUUGGAAACUGGGGAACUUGAGUGCAGAAGAGAAAAGCGGAAUUCCACGUGUAGCGGUGAAAUGCGUAGAGAUGUGGAGGAACACCAGUGGCGAAGGCGGCUUUUUGGUCUGUAACUGACGCUGAGGCGCGAAAGCGUGGGGAGCAAACAGGAUUAGAUACCCUGGUAGUCCACGCCGUAAACGAUGAGUGCUAAGUGUUAGAGGGUUUCCGCCCUUUAGUGCUGCAGCUAACGCAUUAAGCACUCCGCCUGGGGAGUACGGUCGCAAGACUGAAACUCAAAGGAAUUGACGGGGGCCCGCACAAGCGGGGGAGCAUGUGGUUUAAUUCGAAACAA